CCUACGGGAGGCAGCAGUGAGGAAUAUUGGUCAAUGAGCGCGAGCCUGAACCAGCCAAGUCGCGUGAGGGAAGACGGUCCUAUGGAUUGUAAACCUCUUUUGUCGGGGAGCAAAAGACGCCACGCGUGGCGUUCCGAGAGUACCCGAAGAACAAGCAUCGGCUAACUCCGUGCCAGCAGCCGCGGUAAUACGGAGGAUGCGAGCGUUAUCCGGAUUUAUUGGGUUUAAAGGGUGCGCAGGCGGAAGAUCAAGUCAGCGGUAAAAUUGAGAGGCUCAACCUCUUCGAGCCGUUGAAACUGGUUUUCUGGAGUGAGUGAGAAGUAUGCGGAAUGCGUGGUGUAGCGGUGAAAUGCAUAGAUAUCACGCAGAACUCCGAUUGCGAAGGCAGCAUACCGGCGCUCAACUGACGCUCAUGCACGAAAGUGUGGGUAUCGAACAGGAUUAGAUACCCUUGUAGUC
RNAcentral lists this ribosomal RNA (459 nucleotides) under uncultured bacterium. Its description in RNAcentral is "partial 16S ribosomal RNA". It matches the Rfam family "Bacterial small subunit ribosomal RNA", at positions 338 to 795 of the family's 1533-position model. The record is from RNAcentral.